RNAcentral lists this transfer RNA (76 nucleotides) under Polyangiaceae bacterium. RNAcentral's name for it is "tRNA-His". It matches the Rfam family "tRNA". Rfam says of the family: Transfer RNA (tRNA) molecules are approximately 80 nucleotides in length. The record is from RNAcentral. Lineage: Bacteria; Pseudomonadati; Myxococcota; Polyangiales; Polyangiaceae.
GUGGGUAUAGCUCAGCCGGUAGAGCACUGGAUUGUGGAUCCAGGUGUCGCGGGUUCAAGUCCCGUUACUCACCCCA